This 588-nucleotide ribosomal RNA is filed under the name uncultured bacterium. RNAcentral describes it as "bacterial SSU rRNA". It matches the Rfam family "Bacterial small subunit ribosomal RNA", at positions 338 to 918 of the family's 1533-position model. The record is from RNAcentral.
CCUACGGGAGGCAGCAGUGGGGAAUAUUGCACAAUGGGCGAAAGCCUGAUGCAGCCAUGCCGCGUGUGUGAAGAAGGCCUUCGGGUUGUAAAGCACUUUCAGCGAGGAGGAAAGGUUAGUGGUUAAUAGCCACUAGCUGUGACGUUACUCGCAGAAGAAGCACCGGCUAACUUCGUGCCAGCAGCCGCGGUAAUACGAGGGGUGCAAGCGUUAAUCGGAAUUACUGGGCGUAAAGCGUGCGUAGGUGGUUUGUUAAGCAAGAUGUGAAAGCCCUGGGCUCAACCUGGGAACUGCAUUUUGAACUGGCAAGCUAGAGUUUUGUAGAGGGUAGUGGAAUUUCCAGUGUAGCGGUGAAAUGCGUAGAGAUUGGAAGGAACAUCAGUGGCGAAGGCGGCUACCUGGACAAAGACUGACACUGAGGCACGAAAGCGUGGGGAGCAAACAGGAUUAGAUACCCUGGUAGUCCACGCCGUAAACGAUGUCAACUASCCGUCUGUWGACUUGAUCUGUGGGUGGCGUAGCUAACGCGCUAAGUUGACCGCCUGGGGAGUACSGCCGCMRGKUUAAAACUCAAAGGAAUUGACGGGG